UACGGGGGGUGCAAGCGUUACUCGGAAUCAUUGGGCGUAAAGGGCGCGCAGGCGGCCAAGUAAGUCAGAUGUGAAAGCCCGGGGCUCAACCCCGGAAGUGCAUUUGAUACUGCUUGGCUUGAGUAUGGGAGAGGGAAGUGGAAUUCCUGGUGUAGAGGUGAAAUUCGUAGAUAUCAGGAGGAACACCGGUGGCGAAGGCGACUUCCUGGACCAAUACUGACGCUGAGGCGCGAAGGCGUGGGGAGCAAACAGG
Molecule: ribosomal RNA, 253 nt
Filed under: uncultured bacterium
Lineage: Bacteria
Description: partial 16S ribosomal RNA
Rfam family: Bacterial small subunit ribosomal RNA
Source: RNAcentral